RNAcentral lists this ribosomal RNA (253 nucleotides) under uncultured bacterium. RNAcentral describes it as "partial 16S ribosomal RNA". It matches the Rfam family "Bacterial small subunit ribosomal RNA", at positions 524 to 776 of the family's 1533-position model. The record is from RNAcentral.
UACAGAGGGGGCAAGCGUUGUUCGGAAUUACUGGGCGUAAAGGGCGCGUAGGCGGCCUGCUAAGUCGAACGUGAAAUCCCUGGGCUCAACCCAGGAACUGCGUCCGAUACUGGUUGGCUUGAAUCCGGGAGAGGGACGUGGAAUUCCAGGUGUAGCGGUGAAAUGCGUAGAUAUCUGGAGGAACACCGGUGGCGAAGACGACGUCCUGGACCGGCAUUGACGCUGAGGCGCGAAAGCCAGGGGAGCAAACGGG